GAGUUCAAGAGUACGUGAAACUGCUUAGAGGUUAAGCCCGAUGAACCUGAAUAUCCAUUAUGGAAAAUUCAUCACUAAUACUAUGGUAUUUAAAAAAUAUUAUAGAAAUAGUGUGCAAUUUUUCCAUAUAAGGACAUUGUAAUCUGUUAAUGUAUUAUAUAUUUAUUAAAAGAUCUUAUACUUAAGUUUAUUCAAAUUAGUUAUUUUCGAAUUUCUAACAUAGAAUAAAUGUAUUUGAUUUAAUAAAUCAUUGACAGAUUUAAUUAUAAUAUAGUGCUUAAAUUUUGUAAAAAAUUUUACAAUAAUAUGACAAUUCCAUUUGAUUGUAUUUAUUGUAUGCGCUUAUAUGAUUAACAAUGCGAUAGAUUCAGGAUACCUUCGGGACCCGUCUUGAAACACGGACCAAGGAGUCUAACAUAUGUGCAAGUCAUUGGGUAUUUUUAAUAAAACCCAAUGGCAUAAUUAACUUAACUGUUUUAUAUUUUAUAUAAUAUGGGAUUAGUUUAUAAUUUAUUAUGAAUUAUUAAUUCAAUCCCGGGGCGUUCUAUAUAGUUAUGUAUAAUGAUAUUUAUAUUAUUUAUGCCUCUAACU
RNAcentral lists this ribosomal RNA (591 nucleotides) under Cheilosia angustigenis. Its description in RNAcentral is "eukaryotic LSU rRNA". The record is from RNAcentral. Lineage: Eukaryota; Metazoa; Arthropoda; Insecta; Diptera; Syrphidae.